CACGUAGGGCGCAAGCGUUGUCCGGAAUUAUUGGGCGUAAAGAGCUCGUAGGCGGUCUGUUGCGUCCGCUGUGAAAACCCGGGGCUUAACCCCUGGCUUGCAGUGGAUACGGACAGACUAGAGGUAGGUAGGGGAGAAUGGAAUUCCCGGUGUAGCGGUGAAAUGCGCAGAUAUCAGGAGGAACACCUAUUGCGAAGGCAGCUCGCUGGGACGUAACUGACGCUGAGACGCGAAAGCGUGGGGAGCAAACAGG
RNAcentral lists this ribosomal RNA (253 nucleotides) under uncultured bacterium. RNAcentral describes it as "partial 16S ribosomal RNA". It matches the Rfam family "Bacterial small subunit ribosomal RNA", at positions 524 to 776 of the family's 1533-position model. The record is from RNAcentral.